Molecule: long non-coding RNA, 842 nt
Organism: Bos taurus (domestic cattle)
Lineage: Eukaryota; Metazoa; Chordata; Mammalia; Artiodactyla; Bovidae
Source: Ensembl
AUAUCCUCCAAUCAGCAGGCUGCGCGGGAGUUCACGGCGGAGGCGCGAGGCCACCGGCUCGCUCCACUGCGUCCAGGAACAUAGAAACGAUGAUGUGGGAACAAUCUGCCGCUGUGGUUGCUGCGGAGGGUGCAGCCCUGGUCUCACGAGAGGCUGUGUGCUCACCAUUGCCCCAUCCCAGAAGUGUAGGGGCGCCCCUGGGUGUACAGGAGUAACGCGGUUAUUUCUAGUAGGAUUGCUCUGCUUGGACCCAGGUGCCCGGUGGAGCGGGAGCGGCUGGGAGGAAGCCUCUGCUGGACUGUGUGUGUGCCAUGAGCUCUGGUAACAUUAGUAACUAGUGUCUCUAGUACGAGUGUAACGCUAACGCUUCUUUUGGAUAAUAGGAGAGAGUGCCCCUCCACCUACGCCCUUUCUCGUCACUGGGACCUGCAGUCACCGGCUGUCUGCUGACUGAACUGGAAGGGCAGGACGCCCGCUCCUGGGGACAGUUUCGAGGUGCCCUAGGCAUGUGGCGACCCAACCCAACCCAACCUAGGCGCCAGGAUGAAGGAAAUGCCUUCUGAAGUUGAAGAUGGGAGUCUUCAGGUCAGACGCAUCAGAGCCCCAAGGCAGUGGGCGGAAGCUCACUCUGAGGACUCGGAGGAAAGCGCCGGAAGUUCUUAGGCAAUUAUUUGGCCUUCUGCAGUGACGCCACUCCACUCCAUCCCAGCUGCCGCUCACCCACCCACAUCCCCAGCGAGCCACGCUUCCCGUAUUAUCCAAGACACCAGCCCGCCACGCACCACUUGCUUCCCUACUUGAGCGGUGCUUGAAUACUGUCACUCCUUCACAUCAGCUGCUUG